UUGCCUACCUGUCAGGGGAGACACUGAUCAAGCAGCUGGUUUUGCGAGGGAGAGACCCACCCAUUGCACUUGAGGUGUGCUGACCCCUGCGAUUUCCCUAAAUGAGGGAAACUUGACUGCAUAAUUUGUGGUAGUGGGAACUGUUUUCACACUCUAUCCUU
Small nuclear RNA from Cricetulus griseus (Chinese hamster), 161 nucleotides. Its record names the gene U1. It matches the Rfam family "U1 spliceosomal RNA". From Rfam's summary of the family: U1 is a small nuclear RNA (snRNA) component of the spliceosome (involved in pre-mRNA splicing). Its 5' end forms complementary base pairs with the 5' splice junction, thus defining the 5' donor site of an intron. NCBI's taxonomy places the organism in Eukaryota, Metazoa, Chordata, Mammalia, Rodentia, Cricetidae. The record is from Ensembl.